ACAGGGAAAGGCCAGAAAAAGAGAUUACAUCCAGUGAAGGGCAGUUCCUUUAGUGAUAUUGUCUUAUUGAUCCCAGAGGUCAGAGGAAAAUGGCCAGACUACUUCAAGUUGACAGGUAGGCAAAAGUAAAUCAAAUAACCAAUUGUUACAACCAAAGCAGAAGAGCAUCUCUGAACACGCAGCAUAUUGGACCUUGGAGAUUGGAAAAACAUUGCGUAGUCUGGGACCGAAUAAAAAGGUUUUGCCAAAUUAUUGAACUCCAGCAUCUCUUUUGACUCAUCUGAGAAUGCAUGACGUAACCGAAGGUCACGUAGCCUUGUGCGGCCAACGCCAAGAUUCCUUCCACUUGGUUUACCUGCUCAGGUAAUAACGUGUGACUGCUGCUGCUGUAUCCAUAGCAAUGAACCCCUGCAGAUGCCCUCGACCCAGGCUCCUCUGACGGGCUGAUUAGCAUGCAUGGAUGAGGCCUGAGCCCUUCACUGAUUGGUCCUGUCAGUUCCUGGCAUGGGUUCUGCCUCACCCCUGCAGAAGACCCAGCUGGCUGUAUGCUGCCCUCCCAUCAAGCUCACGCC
Long non-coding RNA from Oreochromis aureus, 572 nucleotides. The record is from Ensembl. Lineage: Eukaryota; Metazoa; Chordata; Actinopteri; Cichliformes; Cichlidae.